CUAAUACCGGAUAUGACCUUCGGCUGCAUGGCCGAGGGUGGAAAGGUUUACUGGUGCAGGAUGGGCCCGCGGCCUAUCAGCUUGUUGGUGGGGUAAUGGCCUACCAAGGCGACGACGGGUAGCCGACCUGAGAGGGUGACCGGCCACACUGGGACUGAGACACGGCCCAGACUCCUACGGGAGGCAGCAGUGGGGAAUAUUGCACAAUGGGCGAAAGCCUGAUGCAGCGACGCCGCGUGAGGGAUGACGGCCUUCGGGUUGUAAACCUCUUUCAGCAGGGACGAAGCGAAAGUGACGGUACCUGCAGAAGAAGCACCGGCUAACUACGUGCCAGCAGCCGCGGUAAUACGUAGGGUGCAAGCGUUGUCCGGAAUUACUGGGCGUAAAGAGUUCGUAGGCGGUUUGUCGCGUCGUUUGUGAAAACUCACAGCUCAACUGUGAGCCUGCAGGCGAUACGGGCAGACUUGAGUACUGCAGGGGAGACUGGAAUUCCUGGUGUAGCGGUGAAAUGCGCAGAUAUCAGGAGGAACACCGGUGGCGAAGGCGGGUCUCUGGGCAGUAACUGACGCUGAGGAACGAAAGCGUGGGUAGCAAACAGGAUUAGAUACCCUGGUAGUCCACGCCGUAAACGGUGGGCGCUAGGUGUGGGUUCCUUCCACGGGAUCUGUGCCGUAGCUAACGCAUUAAGCGCCCCGCCUGGGGAGUACGGCCGC
This 713-nucleotide ribosomal RNA is filed under the name Rhodococcus sp. (in: high G+C Gram-positive bacteria). RNAcentral's name for it is "bacterial SSU rRNA". It matches the Rfam family "Bacterial small subunit ribosomal RNA", at positions 163 to 889 of the family's 1533-position model. The record is from RNAcentral. Lineage: Bacteria; Bacillati; Actinomycetota; Actinomycetes; Mycobacteriales; Nocardiaceae.